RNAcentral lists this ribosomal RNA (492 nucleotides) under uncultured bacterium. RNAcentral's name for it is "partial 16S ribosomal RNA". It matches the Rfam family "Bacterial small subunit ribosomal RNA", at positions 29 to 507 of the family's 1533-position model. The record is from RNAcentral.
AGUGAACGCUGGCGGUAGGCCUAACACAUGCAAGUCGAACGGCAGCACAGUAAGAGCUUGCUCUUACGGGUGGCGAGUGGCGGACGGGUGAGGAAUACAUCGGAAUUUACUUUUUCGUGGGGGAUAACGUAGGGAAACUUACGCUAAUACCGCAUACGACCUACGGGUGAAAGCAGGGGAUCUUCGGACCUUGCGCGAUUGAAUGAGCCGAUGUCGGAUUAGCUAGUUGGCGGGGUAAAGGCCCACCAAGGCGACGAUCCGUAGCUGGUCUGCGAGGAUGAUCAGCCACACUGGAACUGAGACACGGUCCAGACUCCUACGGGAGGCAGCAGUGGGGAAUAUUGGACAAUGGGCGCAAGCCUGAGCCAGCCAUACCGCGUGGGUGAAGAAGGCCUUCGGGUUGUAAAGCCCUUUUGUUGGGAAAGAAAAGCAGCAGGUUAAUACCCCGCUGUUCUGACGGUACCCAAAGAAUAAGCACCGGCUAACUUCGUG